Molecule: ribosomal RNA, 399 nt
Filed under: Debaryomyces hansenii
Lineage: Eukaryota; Fungi; Ascomycota; Pichiomycetes; Serinales; Debaryomycetaceae
Description: LSU rRNA
Rfam family: Eukaryotic large subunit ribosomal RNA
Source: RNAcentral
AUUGCCUUAGUAACGGCGAGUGAAGCGGCAAAAGCUCAAAUUUGAAAUCUGGCACCUUCGGUGUCCGAGUUGUAAUUUGAAGAAGGUAACUUUGGAGUUGGCUCUUGUCUAUGUUCCUUGGAACAGGACGUCACAGAGGGUGAGAAUCCCGUGCGAUGAGAUGCCCAAUUCUAUGUAAAGUGCUUUCGAAGAGUCGAGUUGUUUGGGAAUGCAGCUCUAAGUGGGUGGUAAAUUCCAUCUAAAGCUAAAUAUUGGCGAGAGACCGAUAGCGAACAAGUACAGUGAUGGAAAGAUGAAAAGAACUUUGAAAAGAGAGUGAAAAAGUACGUGAAAUUGUUGAAAGGGAAGGGCUUGAGAUCAGACUUGGUAUUUUGCGAUCCUUUCCUUCUUGGUUGGGUU